GGCCCCUUAGCUCAGCAGGAUAGAGCACCAGUUUCCUAAAUUGGGUGUCAGAGGUUCGAGUCCUCUAGGGGUCGCCA
Molecule: transfer RNA, 77 nt
Filed under: Paracoccaceae bacterium
Lineage: Bacteria; Pseudomonadati; Pseudomonadota; Alphaproteobacteria; Rhodobacterales; Paracoccaceae
Description: Rhodobacteraceae bacterium tRNA-Arg
Rfam family: tRNA
About the family: Transfer RNA (tRNA) molecules are approximately 80 nucleotides in length. Their secondary structure includes four short double-helical elements and three loops (D, anti-codon, and T loops). Further hydrogen bonds mediate the characteristic L-shaped molecular structure. tRNAs have two regions of fundamental functional importance: the anti-codon, which is responsible for specific mRNA codon recognition, and the 3' end, to which the tRNAs corresponding amino acid is attached (by aminoacyl-tRNA synthetases). tRNAs cope with the degeneracy of the genetic code in two manners: having more than one tRNA (with a specific anti-codon) for a particular amino acid; and 'wobble' base-pairing, i.e. permitting non-standard base-pairing at the 3rd anti-codon position.
Source: RNAcentral